AAUAAGUUUUAACCUCUGUUCCUAGU
RNAcentral lists this non-coding RNA (26 nucleotides) under Cricetulus griseus (Chinese hamster). Lineage: Eukaryota; Metazoa; Chordata; Mammalia; Rodentia; Cricetidae. The record is from RNAcentral.